RNAcentral lists this ribosomal RNA (497 nucleotides) under uncultured bacterium. RNAcentral's name for it is "partial 16S ribosomal RNA". It matches the Rfam family "Bacterial small subunit ribosomal RNA", at positions 28 to 507 of the family's 1533-position model. The record is from RNAcentral.
GACGAACGCUGGCGGCGUGCCUAAUACAUGCAAGUCGAACGCUGAAGCUUGGUGCUUGCACCGAGCGGAUGAGUUGCGAACGGGUGAGUAACGCGUAGGUAACCUGCCUGGUAGCGGGGGAUAACUAUUGGAAACGAUAGCUAAUACCGCAUAACAGUAGAUAUCGCAUGAUAGCUACUUGAAAGGUGCAAAUGCACCACUACCAGAUGGACCUGCGUUGUAUUAGCUAGUUGGUGAGGUAACGGCUCACCAAGGCAACGAUACAUAGCCGACCUGAGAGGGUGAUCGGCCACACUGGGACUGAGACACGGCCCAGACUCCUACGGGAGGCAGCAGUAGGGAAUCUUCGGCAAUGGACGGAAGUCUGACCGAGCAACGCCGCGUGAGUGAAGAAGGUUUUCGGAUCGUAAAGCUCUGUUGUAAGAGAAGAACGAGUGUGAGAGUGGAAAGUUCACACUGUGACGGUAUCUUACCAGAAAGAGACGGCUAACUACGUG